GAUAAGUCUUUUUUUCCUCUUGGACCUACAUUAAAACAUUUCUGUAAACAGUGUUGUAGUUAAAAUUCUCUCAUGGAAUGUCUUUGUAUAGCCUAUGCACUUACCCACUCUUUUGAGAAGUACUGAGUCAUAAUAAUGAAUGGUGCUUGUCUCAUCUAGAGAAUAUAUUUCCUUUGUCUGCUACUGAAAAAAAGGUGUUCCAUCAUAGUUAACUUUGAAAUUUACUAGAGGGUGUGAAAGAACAUCUCCUGUUGAGCCACAAUAAAUGAUCAGAAAAAUCAUCUUUGUUGUGUUUCUAUGUCUGAUUCCAGGCCAUCAUGCUUGUUUCUCUCCCAAGGGAUCAAGACCAACAUGGACUGUGAAGAGUGGAGUUGAGACUGUGUCACUCAGCUGAAAGCAAGGUUGUUUAGAGAAGAUGGAGCGGGCAGUUGAACUGUAAUCACCCUGAACAGAAAAGGUCUGAAGACAGCUGCUGUGGUCUUAUGAAGAAGAGGCUAGUUGCAUGGAGUUCAUGUUUGCAAUAAGUUGAAAUGAUUGACUUUCCUUUUCUAAGUUUAUUUUACAAGAAGCUACUAGGUUGGCUAGGAAUCUGUUUUAGCAGCUGAAAUAUAGGAAACAAAGACACAUUUAGAACUUCUGGAAAAUCCAUAAAUUAUCUGGACCAAAUACUUUAGUAGUUGACCAUUUCUAAAGAAAUAGAGAUAGCAUAAACAGUCCUCAGAAGGCUUGUUUCCAAAGCAGACAAUUGUAAAUGGAUUGGGGAUUUGUAUGCCUAAACAAAGAAGCAAGAACAAUGACUCUGUAUUUCCUGUAGUAAAUAUGUUCUAUUGGUCUCAUAAGUAGAGAUUAUGAGUUCUAAUAUUGAGAGAUGGAGUAAAUCUUUGCUUUAUAUUACAACAGUUUUUGGAUUGAACAUAUUCUCAGUAGGCUUUGAUAUUCCCAUCCUGCAGUUAAGUAAGUUUUAAAUGAUACGACCUUAUAUAUGAAUGUAUAGAUUCUAAUGUAUUGUGUGAAGAACAUACAGUAGAGACUGAGUACAAAGAUUAAUUGAAGUGAGAUAAGCAGGCCUUUUAUAUAAGAAAUAUUUUCAAGAAACAUCUGAAACAGGGCAGUUUGUAACAGCCAUAGUCUUCUUCAUGUUUUAUUAUGAUAACAGUAAACAUUCUGUUUUGUCAAUGCUAAUGAUCCUUAACUUUGGCUUGGGAUAUCCAAAUCACCUCUUGGUCUUUAAUUUCAAGCAAAAAUAAACAUGUCUUUGCAAGGCA
RNAcentral lists this long non-coding RNA (1265 nucleotides) under Cyanistes caeruleus (blue tit). RNAcentral's name for it is "lncRNA (ENSCCEG00000009865.1)". The record is from RNAcentral. Lineage: Eukaryota; Metazoa; Chordata; Aves; Passeriformes; Paridae.